GAAAAUGAAGAAGCGAGUGAGUAAAAAGCAGUAAUGUUUCAACCUUAGGUGAAUGAUGUUGCAACUUGGAGUAUUCUGACCCCAAGGUCGUGAUAUCACCUAUGAAUGUUGUGACAUUGCUUGUUUUCCAUCAGCCAAGGAGCCUACCAUCAACGUUGCAACGUUCAACCUUCAAUGUUGCAACACUGAGUCUUUGAAGUCAAGGUAGCGACAUUGCUUGUCACAUUAGCCCCUGACUUGGAGUUUAAGAAUCGAGCCAAGUCAAGAAAGGUCA
Molecule: long non-coding RNA, 274 nt
Filed under: Gossypium barbadense (sea-island cotton)
Lineage: Eukaryota; Viridiplantae; Streptophyta; Magnoliopsida; Malvales; Malvaceae
Description: long non-coding RNA (GBAR_LNC007189)
Source: RNAcentral